This 71-nucleotide transfer RNA is filed under the name Heterocephalus glaber (naked mole-rat). It matches the Rfam family "tRNA". Rfam says of the family: Transfer RNA (tRNA) molecules are approximately 80 nucleotides in length. Their secondary structure includes four short double-helical elements and three loops (D, anti-codon, and T loops). Lineage: Eukaryota; Metazoa; Chordata; Mammalia; Rodentia; Bathyergidae. The record is from Rfam by way of RNAcentral.
GGAGGUAUGUUCAAUGGUAAAACACAUGCUUAACAUGCAUGAGGCCCUGGGUUCAAUCCCCAGUACUACCA